RNAcentral lists this small nuclear RNA (54 nucleotides) under Gopherus evgoodei (Goodes thornscrub tortoise). RNAcentral's name for it is "U1 spliceosomal RNA (ENSGEVG00005012019.1)". It matches the Rfam family "U1 spliceosomal RNA", at positions 112 to 166 of the family's 166-position model. Rfam says of the family: U1 is a small nuclear RNA (snRNA) component of the spliceosome (involved in pre-mRNA splicing). Its 5' end forms complementary base pairs with the 5' splice junction, thus defining the 5' donor site of an intron. The record is from RNAcentral. Lineage: Eukaryota; Metazoa; Chordata; Testudines; Testudinidae.
AAACUCAACUGCAUAAUUUGUGAUAGUGGGGGACUGCGUUCGCGCUUUCCCCUG